GGAGGAAUAUUGCGCAAUGGGCGAAAGCCUGACGCAGCGACGCCGCGUGGGGGAUGAAGGUUUUCGGAUUGUAAACCCCUUUCAUGAGGAAAGAUAAAGUGGGUAACCACUUAGACGGUACCUCAAGAAGAAGCCACGGCUAACUUCGUGCCAGCAGCCGCGGUAAUACGAAGGUGGCAAGCGUUGUUCGGAUUUACUGGGCGUAAAGAGCACGUAGGCGGUUGGGAAAGCCUCUUGGGAAAUCUCCCGG
RNAcentral lists this ribosomal RNA (250 nucleotides) under uncultured bacterium. Its description in RNAcentral is "partial 16S ribosomal RNA". It matches the Rfam family "Bacterial small subunit ribosomal RNA", at positions 355 to 607 of the family's 1533-position model. The record is from RNAcentral.